This is a non-coding RNA of Tetranychus urticae (two-spotted spider mite), 1211 nucleotides long. NCBI's taxonomy places the organism in Eukaryota, Metazoa, Arthropoda, Arachnida, Trombidiformes, Tetranychidae. The record is from RefSeq and is a predicted model, not a curated record.
CUUUCGACCUUUUUAUACCCCUUUCUGUCAGCUGGCAGAUUGAAAGACAAUUGUUGAAUGCAAUGUUGAUAUUGGGAUUUUUUACGGUUUUAAUUACAAAUUAAUCCUUGUUUAAUUUAGAUUCUCAUAUGUUGUGUUACUGUCUAUGUUAUCUACCAUCCAAAGGCAAGAAUCAACUAGUGAUGGAAAUUGGUGAAAAACUCACUUCAACUGCUUUCGACUUCAACAUAUUGUUCAGCUGUAAAUGAUUGACCAAUACUUGAAACAACAAUUCUGAUCACUGGUAGCAACUGUCAUCAUUGAAAGGAUGUUAUUACACAUAUCCAGAUGUAUUGGCUAAUAAAUCGGACGAGCCUAAGGUUGAGUCGACAAAAAGGUCCUGAUGUUUCCAUUGAACUACCAUCAUUGCCAGCCUACCUGUUCGAAUCCAUUUAAAGAUUGUUCACUCUUUUACCAAACAAUUUCCCUUGAUAACCAUGUGGUUAACUAAUUUGAAUGUCAAGCGUCUUCCAGCCGUUUCAAGAUAUCGAAGGACAACAAUUCGUCACAUUCAUAGGAACUCAAAAGGUUAUUGGAAUAGAUAAGCAAAUAACAGGAACACCGACCACAUUUCUUUCCAAAUCAAAGGAACUACCAAAUUAUGGGAGAUUCAGGCUAUAUCUUUGGAAACCCAACGGAAGUGCUCUGUCAAUUUAUUUAGUUUGAUCUUCCAGUCAAUCAAUUAUUGAAACAUUACCUUUAAAAUUAUCUGUAAAAAGAGGCUGAUUGGUUGAGCCAAUUUUACUGGUUUGAAUCAGACAGGUAACGGAAGAAACAGAUUGACUUCAAGAGACAUCAUUUUGUAAAUGUUGGUUUCAUUACUGGCAAAAGUUCAUUUGAACUCCUAAAUUUGGUUUCGGACAACUUAAGCUUCCUCGAUUUUGAAACGUAAUUUAAUACGAAAGACUUGAAUUGUAACAUUUUCAAAUCAAUUCAUUGUAUUGGAAAGAUAUAAUCUCACAAAGAAUGGCCCAAAGAUUGUGACCUGCAAAUAAUCAAAAAUCUUCAGGUUAAUGGGGGAGUAAAAGUGAGAAAAAAUUUACAACUAAAAAGGAAAGAAAAAAAACAAUAAAAAAGAAGAAGAAAAAAGUUUAAUGAUUAUUAAUCUUAAUUGUUGCUUUCCUCAUUCACUCUAAUUUGAUUCGAUUAUAAUUGUUGUCAGUCUUUUGGUU